AUGCAGGAUAAAUUAGCUAGGGUAGGAAGGAAUAAACGAAUGCAGCUGUCAGCUGAUAUUUUGUAUAUAUAAUGCGUAAUUAACAUUAAAUCUUCUGUUUAUUGCGAAUACUUCUGCAAACCAUAUGGUUGCCAUAAUUUCGACGGUUUCCGUUGUUACUUUUGAAGAACUGUUGAAAAGCACCGUGUAGGUAUUUCCGGACGAUAUUCGAAACGGCAACACUACCUAUCGAAAAAUGAAGGCAACACUACUCUGGUGGAAGUGGAUUCUUUUGUGCAUUUUCGCCGUGGCACUGGUUCCAAGCCUGAGCAAUGGGCAAUCGGUAUGGGAGUUGUGCAUGGUUUGGUGCUCCCAAAUCAUGUGUGAUGACGGGAAGCCGGCGACCUGCGAACCCCCGUCACCAGACUGUCGGUGCCGUUAAGCGUUGAUGUCAAAGAAAACCCUUAUGGACAACCGUGUCGUAUGAUUGGUCACCUACUCUGCGUAACUGUAUAUAUUUAUAUGCUACGAGCACUGCGUGAUUUCUUUCGGUAUGUCUUAGUGAACCGACGCUUAUUAACGUCGCUCACCUAAUAACGUGUGUCGUACUGUAUUUCGCGACUCGUGUUUGCCGAAACAUUCGUGUUUUCUGUACUUGCUUGGGAAAUUGAUCGACCGCCGUCCGAGGGUAGAAAAAGCCGCAAAACAAAUUAAAUAACCAAUAUCACCAA
This is a long non-coding RNA of Paramacrobiotus metropolitanus, 710 nucleotides long. RefSeq lists it as uncharacterized. The transcript has 2 exons. Lineage: Eukaryota; Metazoa; Tardigrada; Eutardigrada; Parachela; Macrobiotidae. The record is from RefSeq and is a predicted model, not a curated record.